UCAUUUGGUCGGAACUCGGAUCAUGUCAAUUCAAUGUUAACUAUGAUUUGUCGGCGAGUUUGACGUAACACGACCAAACUAUGUAGAUCCCCCAUCUGCCUAGGAAUCAACUUCUCUGAUAGUACAUUUAAUAUUAUUA
This is a long non-coding RNA of Aricia agestis (brown argus), 139 nucleotides long. RefSeq lists it as uncharacterized. The transcript has 3 exons. NCBI's taxonomy places the organism in Eukaryota, Metazoa, Arthropoda, Insecta, Lepidoptera, Lycaenidae. The record is from RefSeq and is a predicted model, not a curated record.